GCGUCGCAUCCAAAGACAUCACCAUUCGCGAGGACCCUCUCAUCCAAGCAAGACUCCAUCUCCCGAAACUCGAACCUGUUAACGAACAGCCUGAGAAGCUCCCCAUCUUGGUCUACUAUCACGGUGGCGGCUUCUGCAUCGAAUCUGCCUUCUCUCUGGUCGAGCAUCAGUAUCUCACCACCCUUGUCGCAGAAGGCAAGAUACUCGCCGUCUCCAUUGAGUACAGGUUUGUUCUAAUUUAUACACAGAGAAACUUCAAGGGGACUUUUCUCCUCCAAGGUCCUCGUCUGGAGAAAAACCAGUUACUUUUUCUACUCAAUUGUUUUAUAGAGAAGGGAUUAUGUAGUUACAUUUAUAUCUUUUAAUGCUAAGAAGACGACAUGUAUGCGUAUAUAUAAAGUUUAGUUUUUGACAAUCCCAUUUUAUGUUAAGCCUAUAUUGUUAGCACCCUUGCAAAACUAAAAAUAUUAUCUUAUGUCCAUUGUCACGUUGUACCGACUAUGGUGAACAUAAGAUGUGUACAUGAGAAUUAGGUAAAAAGCUCUCACCUAUUCAACAUUGUUCAUGUAAAUUUUCUUUGUUUCCUAUAUUCUACCUCUACAAUAAGUCCGAUUGAUGAGUUUCCCCGAAAACUAGUUAAGUUAGGUAAAAAUGAUAAUGGGGUUUAUCCAUGUGAUAAAAGUGGUAAUGGUGGUUGCUUAUUUUCUCACAGGUUAGCUCCUGAAUGCCCUGUACCCACCAUCUUCGACGAUUGCUGGGAAGGCCUCCAGUGGGUGGCUUCACACUCGAUUGACAACGGUGGACCUGCCGUGAAAGAGCCGUGGCUGGCCGACCACGGCGACUUCCACCGUGUCUUCGUCGCCGGUGACAGCGCUGGAGCCACCAUUGCCCACAACGUCCUCAUGAGGGCCGGCCGCGACCCUAUAGUUGGUGGCAUGAAGAUAUCCGGCGCUUACCUGACCCACCCCUAUUUCUGGGGCUCUGAACCUAUCGGGUCAGAGCCUAAGACGGAUCACGACAAAGAGCUUCCGCACAUAGUCUGGACUUCCUUGUACCCGACGGCAAAGGGCGGAAUCGAUAGCCCGAUGAUCAACCCGUUCGUGACCGGGGCCCCGAGCCUGGCGGGCCUCGGAUGCGGGAGGUUGUUGGUGAGCGUGGCGGAGAAGGACCUACUGAGAAACAGAGGAUUGAAGUACUGCGAGGCAGUGAAGGAAAGUGGGUUCAAAGGAGAAGUGGAGUUGGUGGAGGCUGAAGGAGAAGACCACGCUUUCCAUAUCGUGACUUACGAGAAGGAGAGUGCGCAGGUCAUGAUCAAACGGUUGGCUGCUUUUCUUAACAAAACUUGCUAGUUUGUUUGCUUCCUUUUCGUCUGACUAUUUACAAGGUUGUUCUUGUGUGCUUUGCGAACGUAAGCAGUGAUGUCGCUUUUCUAUGUAUUAUAUAGACUGUUGUUGUGAUAUUUGUUACAUUUUCAAAGACCAAGUGGCAUCCCGAGUUACGAGAAGGGGAGUGCGAAGGUCAUGAUCAAACGGUUGGCUGCUUUUCUUAACAAAAGUUGCUAGCUUGUUUGCUUCCUUUUCGUCUGACUUUUUACAAGGUUGUUCUUGUGUGCUUUGGGAACGUAAGCAGUGAUGUCGCUUUUCUAUGUAUUAUAUAGACUGUUGUUGUGAUAUUUGUUACAUUUUCAAAGACCAAGUGGCAUCCCGAGAUAACUUAGGGAUCAGAAUCAUCUCGGCUCGUACGGUGGUGAAUCUGUAUGCUUAUUAGACCCAUGGAAAAACAGUCACAUCGCCUUUAGAAGAAUUCAAAAAGGUCCUCGCCAUCGAAAGCAAUGUUCAAAUAAUAUAAAAUUGAUUGUUGAAUUUGAGCAUGUUGGUUGCUGGUUCCUAGAUUUGGUUGUUGAUGUUUUUCAAAGAAAGCCUUCAUGGUACGCGCCUCAAGAAAAAUGAAGGAAACAAGAUGCAAGCAUUUAAUGAAAAAGAGCUAAUGAAGCAUGAGGAAAGAAAGAAAUCAAUAGGCGAGAUUUAUGGUGGGUCACGUGAACUUAAGAAUGAAAGUCUCAUUAAAUGCCAGCAGGGGCAUAUAAAGUAAGAGAUUAUGGGCCCCUAGAAAACUUUUUUCUUUAUUAAAUCACACGCUUAUCUUGGAGCAAAGAGUCAAGGGUACAAACAGUUUUUCGAAUAGAGAACUUCAUCUAUAAAUAAAGCACUUGUGAAGCAUUGUAAGAAAGCCACGAAACCAGAGUGAGCUCCAUAAAUAGAGUUAGAGCACGAGCAUUUGCAUUUCAAUAAAAAGUUCUCCAUCUAGUCUUCAUUGGUGCUGCUGUUCCUCAAUUUUUCACAGUUAACAUUAUUCUGUCCGCUCCAACAAGUCACUCCAAAAGCCUUGUCGGAAGACGACGCUGGUUCUGAUCCCGAUCACGUCUCCAUCGCUCCCUCGUCCACCUCAAUUACCUUGCUACCUGGUCGAACCGUUCUCAUAGUUCUUUUGAUCGAACAAACUUUUCGCCAUAAUCAUUAUUGGAUGUGAUAAGUAGGCACGACCUUGAUGCACAUGAGGGCAGCCUAUGCGAUAGCUUUCGUUCCUUUAUCAUGUAGCCUCCAAAGUGAAGUAUGUGUCACAUAUUGAUUUGAUAAUGAUGCCUCGCCUCUUACAGGAUCUUGUAUAAAACAAUUCAUCAAUUAUGUCCACGACUAGAGGUUACACAGAUUGGGAUAGUGUCCCCACUUUGGUCCUUGAAAGUUUGGUAGCGUCUAGCUUUCGAAAAGAUUGAAAUGAGAAUUGUCGUUACUAAUUCUCUAAUAUAACCGACUCCUUGGAGAAGAGGAGACUUGUGGCUCCGAAGAUCCCUAGUACUUAUGAAACGAGCUUCUAUGUGGCUUCUUGAGGUGGGAACAAUCGUCCCCACUUUUGUGCAGGGAAAAACUACUAAAGCCUCUUCCCAUGAGUCUUAUAUCAGUUUCGAUUAUUUUACUCCUUCACAGGUGAAAUAAUUGAGACUGAACCAUCAAUUGAGUAAGAACAGCCCAUUGAACUAGUUGAGCCAAUUGAGUAGGGGUGAUCGGUUCCCGGUUCGGUCCGGUUCCACCCAAGAACCGGGAACCGGACCGGGAGGACCGGUUCCCACUUUUCUGGACCGUGGACCGGACCGGCUAUCUUGGAACCGAGAACCGGACCGGACCGGUUCCAAUGAACCAUCACUUGUUUUCAUUUCAUUUAACAAAAAAAUAAAUAGUAAUUACUAGUAAAGUAAUGCACGAGAUUAUGAUCCGGUCAAGUUUUUUUAUUCACUUUGUGACCAACAAAGUGACGCCCUAUUAAAUUAAAAGCGUCAACUUUGUGGAAACAAAGAGAGCCAAGAGAUUGAAAUCCCCUAACAAGGCGCGCUCUUACCCACACCAAAAUGCGCGGAGGAGACGAAAGCCAAUCACCCACCGCCCCCGCCCCCCCAAAUGCGACAUCAAUACAACACAAUCGCAUGUCGGAAACAAACGAAGAUGGGACUACAGAGUAUAAAUGAUCAAACAACGAAGCCGCGCAGCAAUGAAAACAUAGCAAAAGAGCUGAUCGAGGACGAGACUCGGGACUCACCUCAAAGAACAAGAGGGCCUUGGGAAUCGUCGGGGCAACGACGGGAGUCGGGAGAGAGCGAAGAGAUGAUGACGCUGUGGGGAGGAACUAGGAAGGGUUUGGGAAAAUGAAAGUUGAAUCGAAUUACCGCCGAGUUGGAUCACAAAAAUUGAGAAAAUAUAAGUUGAUGUGAUGGUUACUGUAUAUUAAAGCAGAAACUAACAAAAAAAAGAGAGAGGGGUUUAGCCGUUCAUUUAGGUUUCAAGAGGGAAAGGCAAGUGAGGAGAAUUGCAAAAAUUUGGAAAAUAAAAGCUGAUGUGAUGGUUACUGUUAAGUGUAGUUCAGAAACAAAAAAGGGGAGGGAUUAUUAGCUUUGGGUUAUGAGAGAAGAAAUGAAUAUGAUGGUAGUGGGUACUAUAAAUUAUUUCAGAAAUUAAAAUAUAUAUAAAUGGUCGGUCCGGUCCGGUCCGGUUCCGACCUCGAAACCGGGAACCGGACCAACCGGUCACCGGUUCCAAAAAUAGGAACUUGAGACUGGACCGAGACCCUCUAGGACAGCCCGAAACCGACCGGUCCGGUCCGGUCUGGCCGGUUCCCGGUUCGGGCAGUUUCCGUUGCACACCCCUACAAUUGAGCAAGAAUAGCUGGUCCUACUUCAAGUCAAAAGAUCCGAAAGAGAACGUUGACAUUUACAAAGAUAUCAAUUGCUCCGGUAUGUGUUACUCACUGAUGCAAAAUGAUCUAAAACUUAUGAAGAGAUUAUGUCAUGUGAUUAAAAGAAUGAGUGGCAUGAAACUAUGCAAGAGGAGUUCAAAUCCUUAUAUGAAAAUCACACAUUUAAAUUAGUGAAUUUGCACUCACAAUAAGUAGAUGUACAGGUUGAAGAUGGAAGAAAAUAAUUUACAAUCAUGAUACAAUGCUAAGUUUGUUGUGAAAAACUUUAGUCAAAAGAAAAUAAUUAACUUUGAAGAGAUUUUUCACUGCUUGAUAAAAAUAUUUCAUCAUAACUCAAAUUUCCAAACACCUGAGCUUAAACGGUGGAUUCAAUCCGAACCCCUUUUCUCGUUAGAGGGUUUUUCUGUGAGAUAUAGGAAUCUCCGCAUGUGCUCCUGUUUCGAUGUCGUAUGCUCUGAUCUUAUGCAAGCGGACAACGUUAGGAAGCGGUUGAAAAGCGAGACAAAAUUGCUGUGGAGCCGUACGAUCUCGUCGGGGAGGGGGGAUAGGAGAUGGGGCCCCACGACCAGCUCCACCAUCUCGGGAACCAAGGGCCGAGAUCUCUCAACUCCACCAUCUCGCGUGCGGACAGUCCGUACGGCCGAUAAUCAAGCUGGUAUAGCUGAAAAUGGUGCUUGUUUGAUUCCACUGUUUUUUUUUUUUUGGGUAAAGACUUGUUUGAUUCCACUGUUGAAGCUUCUUGAUUCCAAAAAAUGGGUCUUUACAGCAUAAUGCUUUUGCCCCUUAUGGACUCGCAGACAAUGAGGUAACACCUGCGAAGUUUAAGCAAAGCCGAAAUUUGACAAUGCUCCCCACUCAAUCUCCAAAAAAGAUGGCACUGUUGAAGUUUUCUUGUUCAAAAGGAUGUGGUUCAAGCUAGUUAUUAUAACCUAGGAAGUAUUGACAUUCCUUGAGAGUUUUUGUGUCGUGUCGCAAUCCGACACUUUCAAACACUCUUGGGACCGGGUGUUUGUGAAAAACUCUUUCCAUGUCUCUCUAAAUACAUUUUCUUCUCUGGCCCAGUAGAUCCUAUAAGAAAUGCAGUUUGGCUAGUUAAAAAAUUACCAUCCUAGCACGCUUGAAUGUCUAUGCUCUGAACUAAAUUUCUAGGUAGUUUGCCACUAAAAGGCUAUCUCUAAAGGACUCGAGCAGAGGUUCGCCCACUAUGGGAAGGCAUACUUGCAGUAACUUACAUAGUUUUCCCUAAUUCUAAGUAUAGAUCCUCUCAUUGGUACCAGAGCAUAAAUAAGUUUCCAAUACCUGACCGACACGUAUCGAAAAAUCCAACGUCUGAUCAACUUUCGUGACAUUCUUCGACAUUCAAGUUGGAAUGAUAUGUGAGUUUCCAACAUGAUUCCAACACACGAGAUCAAAUUUAAAAUUUUUCAAUAAAUAAGUGGCUAAAAUGUGUGUGUGUGUGUGUGUGUGUAAAGAACAAUAAUAAAAAUAAAAAAUUGGAAAAGCAGAAAAUCUAAUCUUUUUUUUCUCUUCUAACUCUUACUUCUUGUAGUACACAAUUUCACCCCCAAGUUUUUUUUUUUCUCUUCUCUUCCAACAAGUCUGACAUGCGAGUCCAAAAUAUGGAUUACUUGUUUUUUCUCCAAAUUUUAUGAAUUAUUGGAAUAUAGUUAAAUUUGUCAAAUUGAAAUAAUUAAUGAUAUUAAUAAAUGAUUAAUUAAUUUUUUUAGUGUAAAUUCAUUUUAGGAUCUUUUAUUAUUUAUUUAUUUAUGAAUUUGAAUCAAAUUAAUUUGAUUGAAAUAAUCAUAAAAAUGAUAAUUUAUUAUGUAUAUAUAAAAAUAUAUAUUUAAUAUAUAACGUAUCUCAACAUGUUGGAAUUCUCUAUUUUUUGAGCAACGAAGUGUUGGCGUGUCGUGUCGUAUUAUAUCGUAUAUUGCGUGUCAGUAUCGGUGCUACUUAUGUUAUAACCGCUAUGCAUCUUUUGUGCAGGACAAUGUUUCUGAUUUUGUUAGGGUAGGAGGUGUUCAAAAGAUGCAAGAUGGAGAAUUUAUCGUCCAGGUGGGUAGGAGAAGGGUUAAAUCGCAUUGUAUUUAGAAUUACUUUUCACACAAAGCAUAAUAUGAGUGCAAUCGACAACAUGUUUGCAAGCUACAGAGGUUUGUGUUGCCAAAACUUUGAAAAGAUUAGAGAAGAAGAUUCAUGGCCGAGUGAGAAUCUUAAUUUCGUAGUCUCAUACUCCUUUGAACUGGACUCGGUAUUGUUCUCAAUGAUUUUAUGUUUCUCUUUUUGUUGGGUACAUAAAUGGAAGGAGUUCUUUCUGUUUUUUUCUCGCCCUGCUAGGCUUUAAUAUGUUGCUUUCUUUGUGCAGCUUUUGAAUCAAUUACUACAUUUGAUGCGCGUACCAGAGAAGACUGUUCAAAGACGUGUUCCUUUGGCUCUUGCUCAUCUCUGUUCUCCAGAUGACCAGCAAACAAUUUUUGUAGAUGACAAUGGUCUGUGAUGCGCUCUCUCUCUCUCUCUCCCUCUUUCUCUCAAUACUUCUAUAAUUAGGACUGGCUUAUUGUCUUUUUACUUUUAAGCUGUCAUAGUAUCUGAUUACUCUGUAUUCUCUGAAGGGUUGGAGGUGCUUGUUGGCCUGCUUAUUUGUUCGAGCCCUCGGCAGCAACUCGAUGGUGCUGUGGCAUUGUUCAAGUUAGCUAACAAAGCAAUGUCUCUUUCUCCCGUUGAUGCAGCGCCUCCCUCUCCAACGCCACAGGUCACUGGCCAUCCAAUGUAUGUAAGGUUUUGUGUGUGCAAAAGAUCUUUGUCAGCAGCAUUGUUUCAUUACAUAGUCCGGGAGCGGCAUGUGAACAACCCUACCCUGUCCGAUGUAACAUUUCUAGUUGGAGGUUCCCGAAAAUUGUCGUGCUCUGCAGUAAGUGCAAAAGAUCUAUGUCAGCAGCAUCUAAUGUGUGCUUGAUUUUCUCAUAAAUUGCCUUUUGUUUCAUUACAUAGUCCGGGAGGAUUGACCCGUUCUAUUUCUUUUUCUCUUUCAAAGUUUUCAAAUAUAUGUGUGUGUGUGUGUGUGUGUGUGUGUGUGUGUGUUAUUAUUUGCCUAGAAAGGAGUCUUUUGUGCAUAUGAGUAUUUUUAGAUCUGCUCUGGAAAAUAAAAUUUCAUCCAGUGCUUAAAAACUUUCUCACUGCAGGUUUAUCUAGGGGAGCAGUAUGUGAACAACCCUACCCUGUCCGAUGUAACAUUUCUAGUUGGAGGUUCCUGAAAAUUGUCGUGCUCUGUUUCGUUAGUGACUGUCUCGUACAUUGAUCAUGCAUAAAUAAAUUGUGAUUGCCUUCUGAAGCUGGGAUUCCCAGGAUAGGAUGGUUUCGGAUGGGCACGAUUCGGAAAAAUUUUAAUUUUUUUUUAAAAUUAUCUAUGUCAAUAAUUUCAAGCUAAAAUUAGUUGGAAAUAUUACAUUGAUAAUUCGAUGAAAAGUUUAUGAUUAAAUUAUCAAAUUUCUCAAAAAGGGUAUAAUUAAAUUGACAUAAUUGAAAAGUUUAGGAUUGAAUUAGUAAAUUAUCAAAAGAUUUAAUAUUUAAUUGAUCAAAAUCCUAUGUUGCUUGACCUUAAGCCUAGAAUAGAUCGUCCCAGAAAUCUCGGGUUUUAACACCAACAAAGUUUGGCAAAUGAGGAAACUCUUUGGGCCAUGAAAGCUAGAACCAAGUAAGGAUUCUUGAGGGGGAAGGCAAUGCUAGAUUUUAUCAUGCCUGCACCAUUGCUAACAGUUCCGCUCUGAAAGAUGCCGUGGGGAAUUGGGUAGGGCUAUAAUUGAUGUGGUUACUAUUCAUUUCAGAAAACUGUUCUGUACUGGAGAGAACUCGUUGUCUUUGUGAACCUGAGCUUCUCGUGAUGCAAAGUAAUGUUUUAUCUGUACAGGGUACAAGCAUCACGAUGUUCUCGGGGGCAAAAGAGGAAAUUAAGAAUGCGCUUUGAAAUCUCAAACUGCACAAAGCACCUACACCGGACGGGCUCUAUGAUUUUUCUUUUCUGGAAGCGCCGCGUUUGGCGAGGGAUUCUUUUUGGGAGAUCGUUAGAGCGAUUUUUCGAAGUGGCGUUGUCCCUGAUGGCAUUAACGUAUAGUUUGCUUAAUCUUUCCUAAGAAACAAGAUCCUGAAGAUCUCAAUCACUUUAGACCUUUUCUCUUAUGUCACGCAUCUUGCGUGAUAGUGAAAGGGUUCUAGUUCAAAGACCGAGACCUAUUCUGGAUGCGUAAGUCCUUACAGGGCAGAAUAAAAUGGCAGGAAGACUAAAGAGUAAAAAGAGUCUCGUGUCAAUAAAAAUUAAUAUGACAAAACCUUAUAAUAGAAUGGAAUGAAACAUUGUUACAAGGGCUGCAGCAGCUCUGGUUGAAGCACAUGUUUGGAGAAGCCAAUCGGCGCGCGGGCUCCAUGCCAAAGCUAGGUCGACAUCGAUAGGGACGAAUGCAGUGCGAUGUGCCCCCAUCCAAAUUAUGCACUUUUAGGUAACCACCUCUAAAGUUGUUUGGACUCCUCUUAACGUGGAAGUGGAUGGGAGCCGGGACACUGGGUGCGUUUGGAAUCAGCUUUGCAAGGGACUUUGGGCUUCUAAAGACACUUGGGCUAAAGCUAGGGUGUUUGGGAACAAUCUUGGAAUUUCCAUUAGGCCAAAGCUGGCCUUCCCAAGGCUGAAAGCCUAAGGCAGGUGAAGGGGUGCCUUUGCCUUGGGCUUUCAGCUUUCUCGGCAUACAAGUGACACUGUUCACUUUUUUUUUUUUUUUUUUUUUUUUUUUUUUUUUUUUAUUUUCUUCCAAAAAUAUCCUCAGCUACUCUUAUUUUUUCGGUUUUGCCCUCGUUGUUGUACUGUUCAUCUUCUUGUCCGUUGAAGGCGGAGGACGUGUUCCUAGAAGAUGUGAGUGAGUGGCCGCCGACGGCUCAGCAUGGUUGCGGUGGCCCAGCGACCGUCGCCGGGGAGAGGUGGGACCGCCGCCCUGUCUGGGUCGCGGCGAUCGCUGUGGGUCGCGGCGAGGUUCGGGUUCCCGCCCCCGCCGCGACCCAGAUCCGAGGGCGGCGAGGUUCUCCCGCGACCUCGCCGCCCCAGAUCUUGGUCACGGCGGUUGCCGGAGGUCGCGCGAGGAUCUGGGUCGCGGCGAGGUUCUCCCGCGACCUCGCCGCCCCAGAUCUUGGUCACGGCGGUUGCCGGAGGUCGCGCGACCUCGCCGCGACCCAGAUCCGGGGGCAGCGCGGUCGCGUGACCCCGCCGCGACCUAGAUCUGGGGCCGCAAGGUCGCGGGGACCUCGCCGCCCCAGAUCUGGGUCGCGGCGGGGUCGCCCGACGUCCGGAGACCCUCGCCGAUGGUUUUCAGUGGUCGCCCGACGUCCGGCGACCCUCUGUGAUGGUCUUCAGUGGUCGCCCGACGUCCGGCGACCCUCGCCGAUGGUCUUCAAUGGUCGCCCGACGUCCGGCGACCCUCGCCGGUGGUCUUCAGUUGACGUCCGGCAGCCACUUGCCCUUCCCGGCCAUCUGCCCUUCCGGUCAAUUUUUUAUUUAUUUUUCUUUUGAUAAUUUUUUUUAUCACCAAAGCAAUUUGCAAAUAUAAUUCCUCCAAACACCAUUUUGCUCAAAGAUACUUCAAAUGGGCUUUCAAACUACAAUUUUACCAAACACACUUUGCAUUUUGGAAAAUACGUUAAACUCAAAGGUCUUUGCAUUUUGCUAAGGACUUUUCCCAAAAGCGUUCCCAAACGCACCCACUGUCUAAGUAGUGGGGGUCGUGAUGUUUUUCUUGGUUCUACCUAAAAAAAGAAGAAAAUACAAGAAGCCCGCGUUUGUAAUCAUUAAAAAGUUGGAAAAAAGCCUUACUUUUAUAAAGCAUAUUUCUUUGGUCCUCUUCUUUUGAUAAUUAUCUCUACUUGGUCCUAUUCUUCUGAAAAGCAUCUCUCUUUGGUCUUUUCGCAAAGAGUCGAGCCCGCCUGAAUGGAAACCAUCGCUUUCCCCUUCUGUGUCAUUUUCGUCUCGUUGCAGAGGAUACAGACGUGGGAAAAUGAUGCUGCAUCUGCCCAAAGACCUUGCAAUUUUUCCAGCGCAAACAGCUCCCCCUAUCUGUCCUUCAGGUUAUUUUCUCAUACACCAACUUAUCUCUUGAUAAUUUCCGUGUGUUUUCUAAGGAUUUUGACCACAAUAAAAAUCAAUUUUCCUUCUCGAAGAAGAUAUUAGUCAGCAAGCUAAUGCGCUUCUCCAAUCCGGGCCAACUGCUAUGUUGUUCUUUUGCCAUUUCAGCCGAACGCUCGUGCCUUGCCAAUCCUUCCUGUACUUUUGUUGAAAAUCGGUCAGAAUGUUUUGACUUAAAAGUUUUUGCCGUUAGGAAACAUGGCAAUGAUUCAUUCAUAAGGAUAUCUAAUCAAAUGUAAGACCAUGGUUAUUGGGUGAGUCGGACCUUACUGAAAAACCGAAUGUAUAGCACAUCGCGCAUUUUGACAAAAGCAUUGAAGAGACAGAUCGAGACCGAAAAGUCGACACGUUUCUCUUCCUCGAAACUAUGAGAUUGAGAGGGGAGUGUGGGCAUCUGAACUCUUGAUCCGUGCUUUGGUAUCGUGUCAAAAUGCCCAACUUAAUGGCUUUAAUCUGUUGAGGAAUGGCCCAUCGAUAUUUACAUUACUUCACGAUCGCAUAAUAAUCAGCCUAAAAAUCUCCAUUUGUUUUGGAUUUUAUUAGGAUUCAUCACGCUUUCUAACAAACAAUCAAUGUAAACCGCUCCGGCCAGAAUUCAAUUGCCGACAAAGACAAGACCGGAAGAUGAAGACUUUCUAUAAGUAUUACUCAUCUAGUCUCCUCAGAGCAUGCCUUUAUAGCCACUCCCACCAAACCUCUCUUUUCUUGUCCAUUCAAUACCCCUUUCUUUUCUCUCGUCUAAAAGCAAAACUCACGUACUAUAUCACCCACAAAAAGAAAAUUAUGUGCAGCAAAGAGGUUGAAAUAGAGCUCCCCACAUUUCUUAGGGUUUACAAGGAUGGCACGGUCGAGCGCCUCUCCGGUAAUGUCUGGUUCUGCUUCGUCUUAUUACUGAAGUUUUGUGUUUCGAUGGUGGAUGAACCCUUUUCUAGAAACAAUAAGGUUUCAUUGUAACACUCUGUCGUGAAAAGGAAGGCCAUUUUCCCCCUAAUGUGGCGAUUUGCGCGAAUUAUGUCUUUUUUUUAGCUUGGUACUCGUAAUUUCAGUAGACUUUGUCUGCAUGACAUGGUUCAAGUCGUGUGAAUCGUCGAACUUUGCUUCAUUUUCAGGCACUCCAUAUGUUCCCCCUUGCUUGGAGGACCCCAAGACCGGCGUCGCAUCCAAAGACAUUACCAUUCGCGAGGACCCUCUCAUCCGAGCAAGACUCCAUCUCCCGAAACUCGAACCUGUUAACGAGCAGCCUGAGAAGCUCCCCAUCUUGGUCUACUACCAUGGUGGCGGCUUCUGCAUUGAAUCUGCCUUCUCUCUGGUCGAGCAUCAGUAUCUCACCACCCUUGUCGCGGAAGCCAAGAUACUUGCCGUCU
RNAcentral lists this long non-coding RNA (11769 nucleotides) under Eucalyptus grandis. RNAcentral's name for it is "long non-coding RNA (EGRA_LNC005098)". The record is from RNAcentral. Lineage: Eukaryota; Viridiplantae; Streptophyta; Magnoliopsida; Myrtales; Myrtaceae.